CGGGGCACUCAACAUGUAGGAUGCAUCUGUGCUAGGAGGUGUCCAUUCCAGACUAAUUAUUACCCCAAGAUAUGUAAAUUUGAUUCCAACAGAGAAAACCUCUCAUCUUAAAGAGCUGGUCAACCAGAAACCAAAAAUCCCACUCUAGAGUAAAGAAUCGAACUGAAAAGAAUAUUACCUUAGUCUAUCAAUAUGGUCAGUCUAUAAACAAUUCAACAAAUAGGAAUGGAAUAAAGUUCAGCCUAGCAAAUCUUGCAUCAAAUGCUGCUGCUUUCACUAGCAGAAAGUGAGGGGCCUUCAGAUUUAACUAGAAGAGUGCUUUUGCUACUGCAAAAGCCCAAGAGGAUCCUGUGGCAGUAUCUCCAGCAAGGCAUGUGAAUGAGAUGCAGCAGCCAUAGGCAUGUUAAAUUGAAAGGGAUGAAGCUGUGGCAUUUGCAUGUUUUGGGUGUUAACUGGCCUAGGUUGUGACUGUAUUUGAAAAUAGGAAGAUUGGGUGCACGGGACAUGGUGCAUCCCAAAAUUAUAGGCAUCUGCUGGUGUCAUCAUUUCUCCAGUGGCAAUCUUGAGUCUUUCUACUUCCUUCUUUAGUGCUUCAUUCAGAGCAUCACGUAAUUGAGCCUGUUGCUCCAUAGCUUGUAACCG
RNAcentral lists this unclassified non-coding RNA (642 nucleotides) under Hevea brasiliensis (rubber tree). The record is from RNAcentral. Lineage: Eukaryota; Viridiplantae; Streptophyta; Magnoliopsida; Malpighiales; Euphorbiaceae.